UGUAUCCCAUGUGACCGCUCU
RNAcentral lists this microRNA (21 nucleotides) under Ornithorhynchus anatinus (platypus). Its description in RNAcentral is "oan-miR-1421l-1-3p". Lineage: Eukaryota; Metazoa; Chordata; Mammalia; Monotremata; Ornithorhynchidae. The record is from miRBase by way of RNAcentral.